Molecule: long non-coding RNA, 1862 nt
Filed under: Equus caballus (horse)
Lineage: Eukaryota; Metazoa; Chordata; Mammalia; Perissodactyla; Equidae
Description: lncRNA (ENSECAG00000056349.1)
Source: RNAcentral
UUUUCUAAGAAGAGGAGAAGGAAUUUCCCCAUUUCAUCUUCACCCUGUGUCCCUGUAGUUCAAAGAGAGAUACCUCCCAGGAAGAGAACAAGAAAAAUAAAUAUUUUAAAAUAACUUUCGCUUUAAAAAGUUUUCUCGUAUGUAUUGCUGUAUUUCAUCAUCACAAGAGUUCUCUUAGUUCGGCAGAGCAGAAAAUGUACUGAUGAGGAUUUGAUAAAACUCAUGCCUUGUUGGACAUUUAUUGGGUUCUGUUCCAGUCACUUUCCUCUCAUCUUAUUCUUCCUCCCAGCAGUCCUAUAAGGUAGGUGCCAUUUCCCCAUCGUAUGCGUGGAGAAACCAAGGAUUAAAGAGGUUAACAGUUGUGCCUUAGGUCACACAGCUGCUAAAUAACAGAGCCAGAAUUUGGAUCUCGAUCUGACUCCGAAGGCCAUGGCCCUCUUGCAGGGCUUCUCCUUGAGCUGUGGCCGGGAUGCUUGCCUCCUCCGGAUUCCCAAUCCUGUAUUUUCUCUACAUCGCGUCAACUCCCUGCGGUGUGAAGAUAAUGCUCUUAGAAACAUCUUUAAUGGGUGUUUUGACACCUUGUUAAACAGAAUUUUGUUCAGACUAAACAUUCCUGGCAAGGCAGUGGUUCACCCAAGCGCUUCGUUAAUUUCAAAGUGCGAUAGACGCGAAGCUCUUACAGAGGAGGCAGGGCAGCUCAGUGCAAAGAGAACUCGGCACCAUCAGAGGUUCUGCUUCAGAAUCCCCACUUGUGCUAACUCACUUUGUAAAGAUAGGGGGUGCAUUUCACAGCGACCAUUGACUGGCCUGCCUACCCACCUAGCUACUUCACAGGGUUGUGAAUGUAAAUGGUGCAAUGCACAGCCUUUUCUACACAAGGGUACAUAGGAAAGAGAUUCAUUUUUCCUUCCAUCACUGCCUUCGUCCUUGCUCUUUUUGAACGAACUUUCCACAGCCCUUGAUAACAUCGAGCGUGUUCCAUAAGGAGCCAGUCAUCCUUGGUUAAGUCUCAUCGUUUUAUACUGAAGUAUGAAAAAACUCCAGUCCAGUCUUAAAACCUCCAUCUUACAGCCAAUUCAAGCCUUUUCUCUUCCCUGCCCUUUGGCUCUCUGCCUCUUCUUUUCUUUCUGCCCGCCCCUCUGAAAGAGGGGUUAGAUCAGGAGGAUUCAAGCAAAGAGCCAGUCUUUCACUACUUGGUGCUCCCCUUGGGGCAGCAUCCCAGGGCUGCUUUCUCUGGCAGGGGCAGCUGCCAGAGGUGGGUUCCUCAGAAUGGUCACUUCCUUCACAGGACCUGUUGUGACUAUGCUCUCCAGCUGUCCUCCUCAGACACCCUCUUCAGCUCCAGGUCACUGAGAAACUCCCCACUCUCAAUUUUUACAGUUGGAGCCCUCCUGAGUGGGGCAUCAGCAGAUGGCUCAAGGGCAGAGGAAGGCACAGAAGGUCCACUGUUUAAGCAGACACCUAUCAGGGAAUGAGAUGCCCAUUUCACCUUCUAGCAAACAUCAGUCGCUGCAACCAAAUUCAAAAGGCCUUGGAGUUCCUGCUAUAUAAUUGUCAUAGGAAAUAGUGUGGUGCAAAGAAAAGCCCUCCAGGCUUGGAGUCCACACAUCCAGCAACAGGAGACAAGAACUGUCAUUGCCACCGCGUCAUCUUGGGCAAGCCACUUUAUCUCUGUGCUUUCUAGUCUAUAAUGGGAAGCCUUGACCUGGCUGCUCUUCCUGUUCAAUAAUCUGAAAUUCCAAGUAGUUGGACAUGUGGGUAUGAGAUGUCCCCCAUUUAAUAUAGUGUCUGAAAAUCAUCUGUAGAGACUACUCAUGCUACUCAAAUUUUCCAAAAUCACUUCUAAAAUUAUUUUGUUUCCU